Ailuropoda melanoleuca (giant panda) is the source of this 981-nucleotide RNA transcript. It is a transcript of the gene named ferritin heavy chain, with no coding region annotated. The record is from RefSeq and is a predicted model, not a curated record. NCBI's taxonomy places the organism in Eukaryota, Metazoa, Chordata, Mammalia, Carnivora, Ursidae. The transcript has a single exon.
GACGUUCCACCAGGAAUGACACACUUGCUAAUACGUAUUAAUUUUUUUGAGCAAUUAGCUUACAAAUUACAGGGCAAGAAAAGCAUUUUGACAGUCUUCGCCGAGAGUUGCCGCGGUUUCCUGCUUCAACAGUGCUUGGACGGAACCCGGCGCUCGUUCCCCCCACCCCAGCCGGCCGCUCAGAGCCAGCCCUCCGCCAUCUUCUCGCAGCGCCCUCGGACCGCUCCAAGGCCCCCCGCCGCCGCUCCAGCGCCGCGCAGCCGCCGCCAUGACGACCGCGUCCCCCUCGCAGGUGCGCCAGAACUACGACCAGGACUCGGAGGCAGCCAUCAAUCGCCAGAUCAACCUGGAGCUCUACGCCUCCUGCGUCUAAACUUGUCCAUGUCUUACUACUUUGACCGCGAUGAUGUGGCUUUGAAGAACUUCGCCAAAUACGUUCUUCACCAAUCUCAUGAGGAGAGGGAACAUGCUGAGAAACUGAUGAAGCUGCAGAACCAGCGAGGUGGCCGAAUCUUCCUUCAGGAUAUCAAGAAACCAGACCGUGAUGAGUGGGAGAACGGGCUGAAUGCAAUGGAGUGCGCGUUACACUUGGAAAAGAGCGUGAAUCAGUCACUCCCAGAGCUGCACAAACUGGCCACUGAUAAAAACGACCCCCAUUUGUGUGACUUCAUUGAGACUCAUUACCUGAAUGAGCAGGUGAAAUCCAUCAAAGAAUUGGGUGACCAUGUAACCAACCUGCGCAAGAUGGGGGCUCCGGAACCUGGCAUGGCAGAGUAUCUGUUUGACAAGCACACCUUGGGAAACAGUGAUAGUGAGAGCUGAGCCUUAGGCUGUCUUCCCAUAGCCUCAAGGGUGACUUCCUGGUCACUGAGGCGCAGUGCAUGCACGUUGGGGUUACCUAUACCUUUUCUAUAAGUUGUACCAAAACAUCUACUUAACUUCCAUUUGUACCAUUCCUUCAAAUAAAGUAAUUUGGUACCC